AAAUGAAUAGACGGGGGCCCGCACAAGCGGUGGAGCAUGUGGUUUAAUUCGAUGCAACGCGAAGAACCUUACCAAGAUUUGACAUCCCUCUGACGGGGUUAGAGAUAGCCCGUCCCUUCGGGGCAGAGGAGACAGGUGGUGCAUGGUUGUCGUCAGCUCGUGUCGUGAGAUGUUGGGUUAAGUCCCGCAACGAGCGCAACCCUUACCCUUAGUAGCGACCGCGUGAAGGCGAGCACUUUAGGGGGACUGCCGUGGAUAACACGGAGGAAGGCGGGGACGAGGUCAAAUCAUCAUGCCCUUUAUGUCUUGGGCAACACACGUGCUACAAUGGCUGCAACAAAGUGAAGCGAGCCGGCGACGGUAAGCCAACCACAAAAAAGCAGUCUCAGUUCGGAUUGCAGUCUGCAACUCGACUGCAUGAAGCUGGAAUCGCUAGUAAUCGCGAAUCAGAAUGUCGCGGUGAAUACGUUCCCGGGCCUUGUACACACCGCCCGU
RNAcentral lists this ribosomal RNA (495 nucleotides) under uncultured bacterium. RNAcentral describes it as "bacterial SSU rRNA". It matches the Rfam family "Bacterial small subunit ribosomal RNA", at positions 903 to 1397 of the family's 1533-position model. The record is from RNAcentral.